GAUGGUGAACGGUAUGUUGCCGGAUAAUCUAUUGUCGUUGAGUCUGAGGAUCUCUAGCUGAUGUAAGCUUCCUAGCUCGCAAGGUAAAUGACCGAUGAAACUGUUCCGGCUCAGGUCGAGUCGCUGAAGCAUCUUGCAGUUGGAGAUCUCCGAAGGGAUAGGUCCGGUUAGAGAGUUUGAGGAGACGUUGAACGUGACUAAGUUGGAGAGUUUGCAUUUUGAGGUUAAGUCCGGUUAACUAAGAAUCUAAAUAUCUAAACCGUAAGAGCAUACUUGUUUGAAAUUACCGGUUAUCCCAGAAUCUAAUUGUCUAAACCGUAAGAUCAUUAACGUUUUGAGAUUAACAUCCGUUAAUUCAGAAUCUAAAUGUCUAAACCGCAACAACAUAGCCCCGGUUAACUCAGAAUCUAAAUGUCUAAACCGUAAAAAAAUACCGGUUUUGAGAUUAAACCCGGUUAACUAAUUCUCUAAACCGUAAAACCAAACCGGUUUUGAGAUUAGCCACGGUCAAUUCAGAAUCUAAAUCUCUAAAGCGUAGGAACAAGCCGGUUUUGAGAUUAGUUAACUCAGAAUAUAAAUUUCUAAACGGUAGGAACAUACCGGGAGCAAUGUAACCAUAUGAACCAGCGACGGCUGAGACAGAUUUGGACACUGGCAUGUCAAUGACCUUAGCCAAACCAAAAUCUCCAACAUGAGCUUCAAAGUUCUCAUCAAGCAAAAUGUUAUUAGACUUGAUGUCUCGAUGAAUGAUCCUCGGUUUACAAUCAUGAUGCAAGUAAGCAAGCCCUUCCGCCGCACCGAGCGCGAUCCCAAACCGAGUCGGCCAGUCAAGACCAUACGACUUCCCUCCGUGCAGAAUCUCACCUAAGCUUCCUCGAGACAUGUACUCGUAAAGCAAGAGAUUGGAGUUCGAGCCCUGGUGGUAACAGAAACUGUACAGCCUCACAAUGUUCCUGUGCCUGAUCUUUCCUAGCGUAAGAAUCUCCGCGCGGAAACUGUUAUCCGUAUUGUUAUUAUUACCGCCUUCUCUAUUCGAUCCUAACUUUUUAACCGCGAUGGUUUUACCCGAGGGCAUAACCGCUUUGUACACCGUCCCGCACGCUCCUUUACCUAUAAUGUAGCUUUCGUGGAACCCUUUCGUCGCUUCUAGUAUGUCUUUAACAGUGAACCGUUCUUUCGGGACGAAGUAGAUGUCAGAUUCUUCGAAAAACGGUUCCUUGUCGCGCACGUAAGGAGGCUUUGUAGCCUCCACAGGGUGUUGUCUAAGGAAAUGAACAACGAUAGCUAUGAGGAAAAGAGAUAUGCCACCGACGAUGGAAGACAAGAUGACAAUGAUCCUCCGGCGACGCGCCGAGCCUGAUCUAAGAGGCGAAAGGUUACUCCAAGAAGAGAGGUUAGAGUCGCAGCUUCUCAGAUGCCCGCCGCAGAGUCCUUUAUCUCCGAGGAAGCUAGUUAGAGUCAUGUUUUGAAAGAGCGGCGCGGGCGGAAGCGGUCCGGUCAAGUUGUUGUAGGAGAAGUUGCAGCCUAGUAAGCUCGAUAAGUUCUCGAAAGUAGUCGGUAUCUCGCCGCUCAAGUGGUUGUUGUUGAGAGAAAGGUACAUAAGUAGAUAAAGAUUCCCGAGCUCAGGCGGUAUCUGACCGCUGAAGUCAUUGUAGCUCAAGUUCAUCGCGAUUUGGAGACUUGAUAGUGAGCCUAGCUGAGGCGGUAUGCUUCCCGAAAACAAGUUUCCACCCAUCUGGAGCUCCGUUAGAUGCGUGAGGUUCCCGAUGGUGAACGGUAUGUUGCCGGAUAAUCUAUUGUCGUUGAGUCUGAGGAUCUCUAGCUGAUGUAAGCUUCCUAGCUCGCAAGGUAAAUGACCGAUGAAACUGUUCCGGCUCAGGUCGAGUCGCUGAAGCAUCUUGCAGUUGGAGAUCUCCGAAGGGAUAGGUCCGGUUAGAGAGUUUGAGGAGACGUUGAACGUGACUAAGUUGGAGAGUUUGCUGAUUUCUUUCGGUAGGCUUGAGGAGAACCGGUUAGCUGCGAGGUGAAGCCUUUGAAGCUUCUGGCAAAU
Molecule: long non-coding RNA, 2050 nt
Filed under: Brassica napus (rape)
Lineage: Eukaryota; Viridiplantae; Streptophyta; Magnoliopsida; Brassicales; Brassicaceae
Description: long non-coding RNA (BNAP_LNC003700)
Source: RNAcentral